Molecule: small nuclear RNA, 99 nt
Filed under: Sciurus vulgaris (Eurasian red squirrel)
Lineage: Eukaryota; Metazoa; Chordata; Mammalia; Rodentia; Sciuridae
Source: RNAcentral
GUGCUUACUUCGACAGCACGUAGAAUAACAAUGAAAUAAUACAGAGAAGAUUAGCAUGGCCCCUGCACAGGAUGACAAGCAAAUCUGUGAAACAUUUUU